GAUGAACGCUGGCGGCGUGCUUAACACAUGCAAGUCGAACGAAGCACUUAAUGAGAUUUCUUCGGAUUGAUUAUUUUGUGACUGAGUGGCGGACGGGUGAGUAACGCGUGGGUAACCUGCCCCCAGACCGGGGGAUAACAGUCGGAAACGACUGCUAAUACCGCAUAAGCGCACAGUGCCGCAUGGCACGGUGUGAAAAACUCCGGUGGUCUGGGAUGGACCCGCGUCCGAUUAGUUAGUUGGUGGGGUAACGGCCCACCAAGACUGCGAUCGGUAGCCGACCUGAGAGGGUGACCGGCCACAUUGGGACUGAGACACGGCCCAGACUCCUACGGGAGGCAGCAGUGGGGAAUAUUGCACAAUGGAGGAAACUCUGAUGCAGCGACGCCGCGUGAGCGAAGAAGUAUUUCGGUAUGUAAAGCUCUGUCAGCAGGGAAGAUAAUGACGGUACCUGACCAAGAAGCCCCGGCUAACUACGUGCCAGCAGCCGCGGU
This 494-nucleotide ribosomal RNA is filed under the name uncultured bacterium. Its description in RNAcentral is "bacterial SSU rRNA". It matches the Rfam family "Bacterial small subunit ribosomal RNA", at positions 28 to 521 of the family's 1533-position model. The record is from RNAcentral.